This 76-nucleotide transfer RNA is filed under the name bacterium. RNAcentral's name for it is "tRNA-Glu". It matches the Rfam family "tRNA". From Rfam's summary of the family: Transfer RNA (tRNA) molecules are approximately 80 nucleotides in length. Their secondary structure includes four short double-helical elements and three loops (D, anti-codon, and T loops). The record is from RNAcentral. RNAcentral also lists the same sequence under 1 other name.
GGCCCCAUCGUCUAGCCUGGUUUAGGACAUCUGGUUUUCAUCCAGAAGAUCACCGGUUCAAAUCCGGUUGGGGCCG